GCAAAUUUAGGAUUUUGACUGUUAAUUACUGAAAUUUAUUUUUUCCUCUCCAGUUUUUAGCUUCUCAAUGGAUUUGGAGUCGACUUAUGAGAUUGAUCGUGUCGCCGGAUUCAUAUCGGCGAGAGGUUUCCGACGAGUUGCUCUUCAGUUCCCAGAUAAUUUGUUGAAAGAUUCCACGAGGAUAGUUGCUGCUCUACAUGAAAAACUUCGCUCGUUCAGUCAGUUACAUGCUGGAAGGAAUGGAGAUGCAAAG
Molecule: unclassified non-coding RNA, 253 nt
Filed under: Hevea brasiliensis (rubber tree)
Lineage: Eukaryota; Viridiplantae; Streptophyta; Magnoliopsida; Malpighiales; Euphorbiaceae
Source: RNAcentral